AGUGAACGCUGGCGGUAGGCCUAACACAUGCAAGUCGAACGGCAGCACAGGAGAGCUUGCUCUCUGGGUGGCGAGUGGCGGACGGGUGAGGAAUACAUCGGAAUCUGCCCAGUCGUGGGGGAUAACGUAGGGAAACUUACGCUAAUACCGCAUACGACCUUCGGGUGAAAGAGGGGGAUCGCAAGACCUCUCGCGAUUGGAUGAGCCGAUGUCGGAUUAGCUAGUUGGCGGGGUAAUGGCCCACCAAGGCGACGAUCCGUAGCUGGUCUGAGAGGAUGAUCAGCGACACUGGAAGUGAGACACGGUCCAGAGUCCUACGGGAGGCAGCAGUGGGGAAUAUUGGACAAUGGGGGCAAGCCUGAUCCAGCCAUACCGCGCGGGUGAAGAAGGCCUUCGGGUUGUAAAGCCCUUUUGUUGGGAAAGAAAUCUUUCAGGCUAAUACCCUGGGAGGAUGACGGUACCCAAAGAAUAAGCACCGGCUAACUUCGUG
RNAcentral lists this ribosomal RNA (490 nucleotides) under uncultured bacterium. RNAcentral describes it as "partial 16S ribosomal RNA". It matches the Rfam family "Bacterial small subunit ribosomal RNA", at positions 29 to 507 of the family's 1533-position model. The record is from RNAcentral.